UUAAACGGCCGCGGUAUUUUGACCGUGCAAAGGUAGCGCAAUCACUUGUCUUUUAAAUGAGGACCUGUAUGAAUGGUGGAACGAGGGCUUAACUGUCUCCCUCAUCUAGUCAAUGAAAUUGAUCUACCCGUGCAGAAGCGGGUAUAAAUAUACAAGACGAGAAGACCCUUUGGAGCUUAAGACAAAAGACCAACUAUGUCAAAAGUCCUAAAAAGAAACUAAACCAAAUAACACUGGUCUCAGUCUUCGGUUGGGGUGACCGCGGGAGAAAAUAAAGCUCCCACGCGGACAGGGGUAUUCCCCAAAACUAAGAGAGACAUCUCUAAGGCACAGAACAUCUGACCACAAGAUCCGGCCACGCCGAUCAACGGACCAAGUUACCCUAGGGAUAACAGCGCAAUCCCCUCCCAGAGUCCAUAUCGACAAGGGGGUUUACGACCUCGAUGUUGGAUCAGGAC
This 458-nucleotide ribosomal RNA is filed under the name Gymnotocinclus anosteos. RNAcentral's name for it is "partial 16S ribosomal RNA". It matches the Rfam family "Bacterial large subunit ribosomal RNA", at positions 1923 to 2543 of the family's 2925-position model. Lineage: Eukaryota; Metazoa; Chordata; Actinopteri; Siluriformes; Loricariidae. The record is from RNAcentral.